GGAAACCGGAGCUAAUACCGGAUAAUAUAUUGAACCGCAUGGUUCAAUAGUGAAAGACGGUUUUGCUGUCACUUAUAGAUGGAUCCGCGUCGCAUUAGCUAGUUGGUAAGGUAACGGCUUACCAAGGCAACGAUGCGUAGCCGACCUGAGAGGGUGAUCGGCCACACUGGAACUGAGACACGGUCCAG
RNAcentral lists this ribosomal RNA (188 nucleotides) under uncultured Staphylococcus sp. RNAcentral's name for it is "partial 16S ribosomal RNA". It matches the Rfam family "Bacterial small subunit ribosomal RNA", at positions 152 to 334 of the family's 1533-position model. The record is from RNAcentral. Lineage: Bacteria; Bacillati; Bacillota; Bacilli; Caryophanales; Staphylococcaceae.